CUAGUCUUAAGGCCAUAGACGACGGGAUACGCGAGAAUGAUAACACGUGGCGCGUUGAGAGUUACAAACAACAAACAACAUACAUGUGAAACUAAUAUAAGCGUGUUAAUAAUUGUAUUCACAUAUUUUUUUUGCUUUGUUACGGAGCUUAGGUCAUUGUUUUACCAUGUUUCUUUUUAUAUCUGCCCAUUAAUAUUCUCAGCUGUACUGGAUCGAUAUUGUUUAUAUAAAUGUUAAAAGAACCUGAUUUUAAUUUACUUGUACGUCUCAGCAUCAAAAAUUAUAAUAAACCUUUAUUUAAAUAAAAUUAAAAAUAAUAUUUCAAAAUUACCCUUCCGUAAAUAUAUAAUUUUAAAAUUUUUUUUUGAAUUUUAAAACUGUUAUAUAAACACUGACUUUAAUGAAAUAAUAGAAAAGUACUAAAUACAAUUAAUAAGAUUAUUAUUAAUCUACUACAUGUUUUAUAUAUGUGUUAAUCACUGUCAGAUAUCACUUAUACUUGCCGCGGCUAUACUAUACUGCGUGCCUACUGUACUGAUGUUUUUGUACUUGCAAUUUUUAAAAUAAUUAUCUUUCAUUAAGGGGUAAUAUCCACCAAAUUUUUUUUUAUUGGCUUUAACCAUGCUUAAACUAUUCUAGAAUCAAAAUAUUCAACGCCCAAGUACUGAUCUAAACUCAAAAUUCGUUUAAAUCAAUUUUUACCGAACAACAUUUUGGCUCCAAAAUCACAUUUUUCGCUUAUUUUAGCGAUGCUCGUUUUUUUUUAAUUUCGCGGCUUUGUAAAUUAGUAGAAGUUACCUAUGAUCGAUAUCGUGUUUUGAAUUUGAAGUAUAGAAUUUCGACCGUUACUACAGCGUCUGUACAGCACGUGUUUACUUACAAUUUCCUUUUUUUUAGUCGAUCAGCCAUUCUCGUUGUGUACGUUCUUAGUUUGAGUUUUGCUAUACUUUUUAACUGUGAAUUAUAUUCAAAAGUAUUUAAUUAUGAGUGACAAGGUGUACAUAAGGCCACAAAGGCAGUAAAACAAGAAGUACCAGAACAACCCGGAGUAAAAUUAGUAACUGACACCCGCCUAACCGCCAUGCGUUCGAAGGCGAUUCGGAGUACGUUAGUACCUCGGCGACAAAAUUAAAAACUUCUGAUUUAAACCGUGAUCGCGAUGUUGAUAGGGAUUUCGGCUACUGUUUCAUACAUUUUUUCUCUGUAUUUACUGCUCUUUCUGAAUUAUUAGUGUGUAAAAAAUGUAAUAGUGAUGUGCGGUUUUCACAGUCGAGCAAGCGUUGACUAGGCUUCAAAAUUGUUGUGUCUUGUUCGAACUGCGUUGAUGCCGAUAUUUUUAAUUAUCAUUGGCAUAGGCAUAAACGGUAUAAAAAAGUUCUUUGUGAUGAUGGAUCUCGCAAAGCCUGUUUUUCAAAUAACUUACAGUAUGAUCAUUUCCAAUAUCGGCACUGCUACUUCAUCUGUUAAAAUUAAUUCUAUGAAAAAAUCAGCUAUUGAAGAUAAAAAAGAACGUUCUAUUGAACGAGGUGAAGAAGGCGGUCUUACGGUGUCAGGCGAUGGAUCUUGGCGUAAGAGGUGGUUUUCAUCUUUGUUUGCAUUAGUUACUUUGAUUGGUUGGCACACUGGCAAGGUAUUAGAUGUGUGUAUAAAAUCAAAGUACUGUAAAGUGUGUGAAUAUUGGCAAAAAUAAGAAGGUACUGCUGAGUACGAGGAGGUGUACCCUUCGCACAAAGAGAGUGUUCUUGGUGUUUUUGGCAUCGCAGUAAAGCGCUUGGUACUCUUGCACCAUACGAGCACAAGAGUCCAAUGCAUGAGGAUGUUUUCAAGGCGAUACAACCCAUUUAUAAAGAACUCAGCUCCGACAACCUUCUGUCACGCUGCUUGGGUGAGUAUUCUCAAAAUAGUAACGAGUAUUUCAAUGCUGUAGUGUGGUCAAUUGUUCCAAAAAUGAUAUCUAGCGAUAAGACUAUAGUUGAUAUUGCGACUGAUGUAGCCGUUAUUACCUUCAACGAAGGCUUGUCGGGUCUGUUUGCCGUUUAUGAUGCUCUUGGGUUAACCGUUGGACCAAACAAUUACGAGUUUUGCGUGGGAUCGGACGCCAAUCGCGUCAAAGUCGUUGAUCAUUGUAUGUCCGAUAUGGCGAAAGAGGCUAGGCGCAGCCUUACAUCAGACAAAAAAAAGGAAUAAGAGGAAAAUAAGGACCAGGAAGGACAACUUAACAGCGCAGGGAUAGCUGACUAGGUGGAGUUGGGCACGACUUCUACUGCUUGCCGCGGAAGAACUUUCUAAAUAAGCGGUUCACGGCAAUCGCUGCACAGCGGCCAUUUUGUAAAAAAAAUAACAAUAAAAAAUUUUUAUAGUUAUAAA
This is a long non-coding RNA of Daktulosphaira vitifoliae (grape phylloxera), 2367 nucleotides long. RefSeq lists it as uncharacterized. The transcript is spliced from 2 exons. The record is from RefSeq and is a predicted model, not a curated record. NCBI's taxonomy places the organism in Eukaryota, Metazoa, Arthropoda, Insecta, Hemiptera, Phylloxeridae.